GUCUACGGCCAUACACCCUGAACGCGCCCGAUCUCGUCUGAUCUCGAAGCUAAGCAGGGUCGGGCCCGGUUAGUACUUGGAUGGGAGACCGCCUGGGAAUACCGGGUGCUGUAGGCU
RNAcentral lists this ribosomal RNA (117 nucleotides) under Capra hircus (goat). Lineage: Eukaryota; Metazoa; Chordata; Mammalia; Artiodactyla; Bovidae. The record is from RNAcentral.